Cerrena zonata is the source of this 84-nucleotide non-coding RNA. Lineage: Eukaryota; Fungi; Basidiomycota; Agaricomycetes; Polyporales; Cerrenaceae. The record is from the annotation of a GenBank genome assembly.
GCCCGUUUAGCUCAGUGGUAGAGCGCGCCACUUGUAUUACUAAGAUUAAUGGUGAGGUCGGUUGUUCAAUCCAGCCAAUGGGCA